This is a long non-coding RNA of Solanum pennellii, 1133 nucleotides long. RefSeq lists it as uncharacterized. The transcript is spliced from 5 exons. Lineage: Eukaryota; Viridiplantae; Streptophyta; Magnoliopsida; Solanales; Solanaceae. The record is from RefSeq and is a predicted model, not a curated record.
CCUAUAUUUUUUAUUGACCAAAAAAAUAUAAGAAAGCUUUUCUUUCUCUCUCUCCAACUUUACCCUUUUUCCAGUUAGCUUGACAUUUUCUCUAAAACUAUCGAUGAACUGAAGAGGAAGAGCAAAAGGUGUAUAACUAGUAUCACGAAUCAAAGAUCAAUGAACCGAGCUAAAGGUGGAGAACUGAGCUAGAGAUAUCUUUGAUACUGAAGAUCAAUGAACUGAGCUGAAGUUGAACAUCUCAAGAAAGACGAACUGAGCUGAAGAUGCAAAGCUAAAGCAAAAGAAAUGAAGAGGGCAAGCUGAAGAACUGAAGAGUUGAGCUGAAGAUUUCUUCAAUAUCGAUUUAGUGAAGCCGAGCAGCUGCUGCAACUGCAUCUAGAAAGUUCUAAGAUGAGAGUAUCCCAAUUUUGACAAAGUUAAAUAUCAUGGACCUGCAAACUGGAAAUGAGAAGCAUGUUCUGAUUUGUUUUGAUUCAUUAUGCCAACAACAAAUUUGAUUGGUCAGGCGAAGCGGAAGCCUGUAUUCAUAAAAGACGGAGCAACAACUGCAUGGAAUUCAAGAAAGGACAGUGAGUGUGCGGCUGCAGUGCUUCUCGUGAAGAGAAUUAUCGCUAUGCAUAAGGGACUUCAGGUUUUUUUAUUGUUAGUACUAACCGCCAUGAUGCUCAACAUACACUAUUAGUCGGAUAAUUUUAAACAACAUGCAGGUAGUAGCUAUUUUCUCCUAAAAAGUGAAACAGGCUUUUAAAAGCUGUAUUUAAACAAACAUUAUGGGUUUUAGGGAGUUUCCCAUCGUCUCCUUUUAUCUCUGGAAUUUUACCGUCUUCCGAUCGACGUAGCUCCGCAUUUUUAUAAACAUGAUGCUGACUUAUAUUAGUUUUAGACUUCAGGUUAUCUUUGUUAGUCUUUAGCUUUUAUAUCUCAUUGUCCAUACUUUCCACUUUAGUACAAAGUGUAGUAAUGACUUUGAGUAGCUUUUCAAUUUUAUCUUCGUCUUUGUUUUCAGUAGUCUGAGUAGCUUUGUCUUAAUAUGUAGUCUGCAACACCAUUUUAUUAGUCUUUAUCACUUCAAUUGUAAAUGUAAAGUUUAAUAUAUUUAAUACCAAUCUUCUAAUUUCUUUCGUUAUUAC